RNAcentral lists this non-coding RNA (25 nucleotides) under Mus musculus (house mouse). The record is from RNAcentral. Lineage: Eukaryota; Metazoa; Chordata; Mammalia; Rodentia; Muridae.
UGCUAAGGUAUUGUGUGUGGGAAGA